Molecule: ribosomal RNA, 588 nt
Filed under: Aglaophenia latecarinata
Lineage: Eukaryota; Metazoa; Cnidaria; Hydrozoa; Leptothecata; Aglaopheniidae
Description: partial 16S ribosomal RNA
Rfam family: Bacterial large subunit ribosomal RNA
Source: RNAcentral
CCCUUAAAAAUAUUAAAGGUGAAACCUGCCCAAUGAUUUAAGAAUAUUCUAUAAUAAAAAAAAAAAACAAUUGAAUGGCUGCGGUAACUAUGACUGUAUGAAUGUAGCAUAAUAAUUCGCCACUUAAUUGGUGGAUAGUAUGAAUGGUUAAACGAAAAUUCCUCUGUCUUAUAAAAUAAAAAAGAAAUUUAAAUUAUAGUUAAGAUGCUAUAUAAAAUUACAAGACGAAAAGACCCUAUAAAGCUUAACUAUAUUUCUUCAAAAUUUACUAAAAAUAAGUAUAAAAAGAGGAUUUGGUAGUUUCAUUGGGGCGAUGGUCUCUAAAACAAAACAGAGAUACUCUACAUUAAUAAAAUAAUUUAUUGUAUAAUUAAUAAAUUUAACAAUUACAACGUAGGAUAUAACGACCCAUUAUCAUCAAAAAAAAGAUAUAAUGAUCUAUAAAUAAAAGCUACUUUAGGGAUAACAGGAUAAUUUUUUCUAAGAGCCCUUAUCGAAGAAAAAGUUUAUCACCUCGAUGUUGAAUUAAGAUAACCUAAUGACGCAGCCGUCAUUGAAGGUAGGUCUGUUCGACCUUAAAAAUCUUAC